UACGAAGGGGGCUAGCGUUGCUCGGAAUCACUGGGCGUAAAGGGUGCGUAGGCGGGUUUUUAAGUCAGAGGUGAAAUCCUGGAGCUCAACUCCAGAACUGCCUUUGAUACUGAGAAUCUUGAGUACGGGAGAGGUGAGUGGAACUGCGAGUGUAGAGGUGAAAUUCGUAGAUAUUCGCAAGAACACCAGUGGCGAAGGCGGCUCACUGGCCCGGUACUGACGCUGAGGCACGAAAGCGUGGGGAGCAAACAGG
Molecule: ribosomal RNA, 253 nt
Filed under: uncultured bacterium
Lineage: Bacteria
Description: partial 16S ribosomal RNA
Rfam family: Bacterial small subunit ribosomal RNA
Source: RNAcentral